GCUGUGGCUGAGUGGUAAAGCACAUCGUCUGCAUGUCAAAGGCUCCAGGUUCAAUCCUGGGCAUCUGCA
Podarcis lilfordi (Lilford's wall lizard) is the source of this 69-nucleotide non-coding RNA. Lineage: Eukaryota; Metazoa; Chordata; Lepidosauria; Squamata; Lacertidae. The record is from the annotation of a GenBank genome assembly.